GAUUUCCGGAGACAAAACUAUAGUAUAUGUUUCUUCUUUCUAUGCGAUGUUUUGAAGUAACGAAUGUUAGAGCAUCAGCAUUAGUGAACCCCUUGGAAGGGGUUCACAAAACAUUUUUUUAUUAUUAUUUUUUUUCUGUUUGAUUUUUGUUUUUAAAAAAAAAAAAAAAAAAAAUUAUAACCGGACCAACCGCGGGCCGCCACGUGUCGUGGGGCCCGCGCUACAGUGAUGAUCCGGAUUCAGUGCAGUGAACUUCUAAGAGGGAGGUUCAUUGCUUUUGUUUAUUUUAAUAUUUUUUUUUUUUCGAAAACUGUGUGAACUCCCCAUGGAGUUCACUAAUGCAGAUGCUCUUAGGUUUCACCUUUGAAGAGCUGACCAAACGUAAGUAAGCACUCUUUUUCUUGGUAUAUAAAUAUACUAAAGAUAGCUCCUUCCUACUCCCACUAGCUAAUUGCUUUUGGAAUUCACAUUCUAAUUGAGAAAAAAAUAUUGAUUUGUUUCCCGAUUCUGCAACGUUUUACUCGAUAAUUGAUAUUAGUUGAUUUUUAUUAGACGAAAGUAGGUCUAAAAUACCUUUAUUGUAAAGUCUUUAUCUAACAACCAUCAACCAUGUAUAUAUUGGACUUUCGAGUAUGGGAUAAUCAAACUUCUAACACUGACUUGUUUUCCUGG
Molecule: long non-coding RNA, 672 nt
Filed under: Brassica rapa (field mustard)
Lineage: Eukaryota; Viridiplantae; Streptophyta; Magnoliopsida; Brassicales; Brassicaceae
Description: long non-coding RNA (BRAP_LNC001760)
Source: RNAcentral